AUUGAACGCUGGCGGCAUGCCUUACACAUGCAAGUCGAACGGCAGCACGGGAGCAAUCCUGGUGGCGAGUGGCGAACGGGUGAGUAAAGUAUCGGAACGUGCCCAGUCGUGGGGGAUAACGUAGCGAAAGUUACGCUAAUACCGCAUACGAUCUAAGGAUGAAAGCGGGGGAUCGCAAGACCUCGCGCGAAUGGAGCGGCCGAUGGCAGAUUAGGUAGUUGGUAGGGUAAAGGCCUACCAAGCCGACGAUCUGUAGCUGGUCUGAGAGGAUGAUCAGCCACACUGGGACUGAGACACGGCCCAGACUCCUACGGGAGGCAGCAGUGGGGAAUUUUGGACAAUGGACGCAAGUCUGAUCCAGCCAUUCCGCGUGCAGGAUGAAGGCCCUCGGGUUGUAAACUGCUUUUGUACAGAACGAAAAGGCUCUGGUUAAUACCUGGGGCACAUGACGGUACUGUAAGAAUAAGCACCGGCUAACUACGUGCCAGCCGCCGCCGUAA
Molecule: ribosomal RNA, 500 nt
Filed under: uncultured bacterium
Lineage: Bacteria
Description: partial 16S ribosomal RNA
Rfam family: Bacterial small subunit ribosomal RNA
Source: RNAcentral